This 440-nucleotide ribosomal RNA is filed under the name uncultured bacterium. RNAcentral's name for it is "bacterial SSU rRNA". It matches the Rfam family "Bacterial small subunit ribosomal RNA", at positions 338 to 795 of the family's 1533-position model. The record is from RNAcentral.
CCUACGGGUUGCAGCAGUGGGGAAUAUUGGACAAUGGGCGCAAGCCUGAUCCAGCCAUGCCGCGUGAGUGAUGAAGGCCCUAGGGUUGUAAAACUCUUUCAGUGGUGAAGAUAAUGACGGUAACCACAGAAGAAGCUCCGGCUAACUCCGUGCCAGCAGCCGCGGUAAUACGGAGGGAGCUAGCGUUGUUCGGAAUUACUGGGCGUAAAGCGCGCGUAGGCGGUCUAUAAAGUUGGGGGUGAAAUCCCGGAGCUCAACUCCGGAACUGCCUCCAAAACUGCUAGACUCGAGUUCGGAAGAGGUAAGUAGAAUUCCCAGUGUAGAGGUGAAAUUCGUAGAUAUUGGGAAGAAUACCAGUGGCGAAGGCGGCUUACUGGUCCGAUACUGACGCUGAGGUGCGAAAGCGUGGGGAGCAAACAGGAUUAGAUACCCCAGUAGUC